Molecule: transfer RNA, 94 nt
Filed under: Streptomyces lavendulae subsp. lavendulae
Lineage: Bacteria; Bacillati; Actinomycetota; Actinomycetes; Kitasatosporales; Streptomycetaceae
Also listed under: 1 other name
Description: tRNA-Cys
Rfam family: tRNA
About the family: Transfer RNA (tRNA) molecules are approximately 80 nucleotides in length. Their secondary structure includes four short double-helical elements and three loops (D, anti-codon, and T loops).
Source: RNAcentral
GGAGAGGUGCCCGGAGCGGUUGAUCGGGGACCGGCCACAGGCCGUUCGGGUUCCACAGGGAUCCACGCAGGUUCGAAUCCUGCCCUCUCCGCCA